This 211-nucleotide unclassified non-coding RNA is filed under the name uncultured Serendipitaceae. RNAcentral describes it as "sequence contains ITS2". Lineage: Eukaryota; Fungi; Basidiomycota; Agaricomycetes; Sebacinales; Serendipitaceae. The record is from RNAcentral.
UAAUCUCACUACGGUCGACUUUAUGUCUUUCUGUAUGUGGACUUGGAUGUUUGCCGUGGAUAUCCACGGCUCGUCUGAAAUGCCUGUGUACCCCGCUUUGCGGCGUAUUCGGUGUGAUACAUCUUCACCGGAGUUGAUCCUUUGGGGUCGCGUCUGUAACGAGUGUGGCUCUAUGCUUUCCAACCGUCCGUAGUGGACAAACCUUUUGACA